Molecule: ribosomal RNA, 253 nt
Filed under: uncultured bacterium
Lineage: Bacteria
Description: partial 16S ribosomal RNA
Rfam family: Bacterial small subunit ribosomal RNA
Source: RNAcentral
UACGUAGGGUGCAAGCGUUGUCCGGAAUUAUUGGGCGUAAAGAGCUCGUAGGCGGUCUGUCGCGUCGGCUGUGAAAUCCCGGAGCUCAACUCCGGGCCUGCAGUCGAUACGGGCAGACUGGAGUUCGGCAGGGGAGACUGGAAUUCCUGGUGUAGCGGUGAAAUGCGCAGAUAUCGGGAAGAACACCCGUGGCGAAGGCGGCACUCUGGGACGGUACUGACGCUGAGACGCGAAAGCGUGGGGAGCGAACAGG